Molecule: ribosomal RNA, 484 nt
Filed under: uncultured bacterium
Lineage: Bacteria
Description: bacterial SSU rRNA
Rfam family: Bacterial small subunit ribosomal RNA
Source: RNAcentral
UAGCGGAACUCCUACGGGAGGCAGCAGUGGGGAAUAUUGGACAAUGGGGGGAACCCUGAUCCAGCCAUGCCGCGUGUGUGAAGAAGGCCUUAUGGUUGUAAAGCACUUUAAGCGAGGAGGAGGCUCUCUUGGUUAAUACCCAAGAUGGGUGGACGUUACUCGCAGAAUAAGCACCGGCUAACUCUGUGCCAGCAGCCGCGGUAAUACAGAGGGUGCGAGCGUUAAUCGGAUUUACUGGGCGUAAAGCGUGCGUAGGCGGCUUUUUAAGUCGGAUGUGAAAUCCCCGAGCUUAACUUGGGAAUUGCAUUCGAUACUGGGAAGCUAGAGUAUGGGAGAGGAUGGUAGAAUUCCAGGUGUAGCGGUGAAAUGCGUAGAGAUCUGGAGGAAUACCGAUGGCGAAGGCAGCCAUCUGGCCUAAUACUGACGCUGAGGUACGAAAGCAUGGGGAGCAAACAGGAUUAGAAACCCUUGUAGUCCACUUAUG